CCCUUAGAUGUCCUGGGCUGCACGCGCGCUACACUGAUGUGUCCAGUAAGCACCUAACCUAUUCCGAGAGGAGCGGGUAACCUUAGCAAAGCACAUCGUGAUGGGGAUAGAUUAUUGCAAUUAUUAGUCUUGAACGAGGAAUUCCUAGUAAGCACAAGUCAUCAGCUUGUGUUGAUUACGUCCCUGCCCGUUGUACACACCGCCCGUCGCUCCUACCGAUUGAAUGUUCCGGUGAGCUCUUCGGACUGCGCGGUCUGCAGUUUCUGCGUUCCGUGCGGAAAGUUGUGCAAACCUUAACAUUUAGAGGAAGGAGAAGUCGUAACA
Molecule: ribosomal RNA, 324 nt
Filed under: uncultured eukaryote
Lineage: Eukaryota
Description: partial 18S ribosomal RNA
Rfam family: Eukaryotic small subunit ribosomal RNA
Source: RNAcentral